This 400-nucleotide ribosomal RNA is filed under the name uncultured bacterium. RNAcentral describes it as "bacterial SSU rRNA". It matches the Rfam family "Bacterial small subunit ribosomal RNA", at positions 356 to 773 of the family's 1533-position model. The record is from RNAcentral.
GGGGAAUCUUGCGCAAUGGGCGAAAGCCUGACGCAGCCAUGCCGCGUGAAUGAUGAAGGUCUUAGGAUUGUAAAAUUCUUUCACCGGGGACGAUAAUGACGGUACCCGGAGAAGAAGCCCCGGCUAACUUCGUGCCAGCAGCCGCGGUAAUACGAAGGGGGCUAGCGUUGCUCGGAAUUACUGGGCGUAAAGGGAGCGUAGGCGGACAGUUAAGUCAGAGGUGAAAGCCCAGGGCUCAACCUUGGAAUUGCCUUUGAUACUGGCUGUCUUGAGUAUGGGAGAGGUGUGUGGAACUCCGAGUGUAGAGGUGAAAUUCGUAGAUAUUCGGAAGAACACCAGUGGCGAAGGCGACACACUGGCCCAUUACUGAUGCUGAGGCUCGAAAGCGUGGGGAGCAAAC